This 497-nucleotide ribosomal RNA is filed under the name uncultured bacterium. RNAcentral describes it as "partial 16S ribosomal RNA". It matches the Rfam family "Bacterial small subunit ribosomal RNA", at positions 28 to 507 of the family's 1533-position model. The record is from RNAcentral.
GAUGAACGCUGGCGGCGUGCCUAAUACAUGCAAGUCGAGCGAACGGACGAGAAGCUUGCUUCUCUGAUGUUAGCGGCGGACGGGUGAGUAACACGUGGAUAACCUACCUAUAAGACUGGGAUAACUUCGGGAAACCGGAGCUAAUACCGGAUAAUAUUUUGAACCGCAUGGUUCAAAAGUGAAAGACGGUCUUGCUGUCACUUAUAGAUGGAGCCGAGCUGCAUUAGCUAGUUGGUAAGGUAACGGCUUACCAAGGCAACGAUGCAUAGCCGACCUGAGAGGGUGAUCGGCCACACUGGAACUGAGACACGGUCCAGACUCCUACGGGAGGCAGCAGUAGGGAAUCUUCCGCAAUGGGCGAAAGCCUGACGGAGCAACGCCGCGUGAGUGAUGAAGGUCUUCGGAUCGUAAAACUCUGUUAUUAGGGAAGAACAUAUGUGUAAGUAACUGUGCACAUCUUGACGGUACCUAAUCAGAAAGCCCCGGCUAACUACGUG